RNAcentral lists this transfer RNA (72 nucleotides) under Camelus bactrianus (Bactrian camel). It matches the Rfam family "tRNA". From Rfam's summary of the family: Transfer RNA (tRNA) molecules are approximately 80 nucleotides in length. The record is from Rfam by way of RNAcentral. Lineage: Eukaryota; Metazoa; Chordata; Mammalia; Artiodactyla; Camelidae. RNAcentral also lists the same sequence under 3 other names.
GAGGGUAUAGUUGAGUAGUAGAGUGCAUGCUUAGCAUGCUAGAGGUCCUGGGUUCAAUUCCUAGUACUUCCA